CUCCCGGGGGGGGGGGGGGGAGACGCGUGAGAAUCUGUUUUCUAGGAUGGGGAUAACGACUGGAAACGAGCUCGUUAAUACCCGAUGUGCCGAGAGGUGAAAGAUUGUAUCGCCUGAAGAUGAGCUCGCGUCCGAUUAGCUAGUUGGUAGGGUAAGAGCCUACCAAGGCGACGAUCGGUAACUGGUCUGAGAGGAUGACCAGUCACACUGGGACUGAGACACGGCCCAGACUCCUACGGGAGGCAGCAGUGGGGAAUUUUCCGCAAUGGGCGCAAGCCUGACGGAGCAAGACCGCGUGGGGGAAGAAGGUUUGUGGAUUGUAAACCCCUUUUAUCAGGGAAGAAGCUCUGACGGUACCUGAUGAAUCAGCCUCGGCUAACUCCGUGCCAGCAGCCGCGGUAAUACGGAGGGGGCAAGCGUUAUCCCGAAAUUUUUGGGCGUAAAAGCUUCCCAGGGUGGCUAUACGUGUCAGUUGUUAAAGAAUGGGGCUUAACUCCAUAUGGGCGAUUGAAACUGUAUAGCUAGAGAGUGGUAGGGGCAAGGGGAAUUCCCAGUGUAGCGGUGAAAUGCGUAGAUAUUUGGGAAGAACACCAGGCUGGCGAAAGCGCUCUUGCUGGGCCAUCACUGACGCUGAGAGACGAAAGCUAUGAAGCGUUGGAUAAUCUCCUCUUUUGUAACACCACC
This 684-nucleotide ribosomal RNA is filed under the name Oscillatoria sp. S1. RNAcentral describes it as "partial 16S ribosomal RNA". It matches the Rfam family "Bacterial small subunit ribosomal RNA", at positions 91 to 787 of the family's 1533-position model. Lineage: Bacteria; Bacillati; Cyanobacteriota; Cyanophyceae; Oscillatoriales; Oscillatoriaceae. The record is from RNAcentral.